Molecule: ribosomal RNA, 252 nt
Filed under: uncultured bacterium
Lineage: Bacteria
Description: partial 16S ribosomal RNA
Rfam family: Bacterial small subunit ribosomal RNA
Source: RNAcentral
UACAUAGGGUGCGAGCGUUGUCCGGAAUUAUUGGGCGUAAAGAGCUCGUAGGCGGUUUGUCGCGUCGGCCGUGAAAACUUGGGGCUUAACCCCGAGCCUGCGGUCGAUACGGACAGACUUGAGUUCGGCAGGGGAGACUGGAACUCCUGGUGUAGCGGUGAAAUGCGCAGAUAUCAGGAGGAACACCAGUGGCGAAGGCGGGUCUCUGGCCGAUACUGACGCUGAGGAGCGAAAGCGUGGGGAGCGAACAGG